RNAcentral lists this ribosomal RNA (1168 nucleotides) under Escherichia coli 8.0566. RNAcentral's name for it is "bacterial LSU rRNA". It matches the Rfam family "Bacterial large subunit ribosomal RNA", at positions 1 to 1212 of the family's 2925-position model. The record is from RNAcentral. RNAcentral also lists the same sequence under 4 other names. Lineage: Bacteria; Pseudomonadati; Pseudomonadota; Gammaproteobacteria; Enterobacterales; Enterobacteriaceae.
UUAAGCGACUAAGCGUACACGGUGGAUGCCCUGGCAGUCAGAGGCGAUGAAGGACGUGCUAAUCUGCGAUAAGCGUCGGUAAGGUGAUAUGAACCGUUAUAACCGGCGAUUUCCGAAUGGGGAAACCCAGUGUGUUUCGACACACUAUCAUUAACUGAAUCCAUAGGUUAAUGAGGCGAACCGGGGGAACUGAAACAUCUAAGUACCCCGAGGAAAAGAAAUCAACCGAGAUUCCCCCAGUAGCGGCGAGCGAACGGGGAGCAGCCCAGAGCCUGAAUCAGUGUGUGUGUUAGUGGAAGCGUCUGGAAAGGCGCGCGAUACAGGGUGACAGCCCCGUACACAAAAAUGCACAUGCUGUGAGCUCGAUGAGUAGGGCGGGACACGUGGUAUCCUGUCUGAAUAUGGGGGGACCAUCCUCCAAGGCUAAAUACUCCUGACUGACCGAUAGUGAACCAGUACCGUGAGGGAAAGGCGAAAAGAACCCCGGCGAGGGGAGUGAAAAAGAACCUGAAACCGUGUACGUACAAGCAGUGGGAGCACGCUUAGGCGUGUGACUGCGUACCUUUUGUAUAAUGGGUCAGCGACUUAUAUUCUGUAGCAAGGUUAACCGAAUAGGGGAGCCGAAGGGAAACCGAGUCUUAACUGGGCGUUAAGUUGCAGGGUAUAGACCCGAAACCCGGUGAUCUAGCCAUGGGCAGGUUGAAGGUUGGGUAACACUAACUGGAGGACCGAACCGACUAAUGUUGAAAAAUUAGCGGAUGACUUGUGGCUGGGGGUGAAAGGCCAAUCAAACCGGGAGAUAGCUGGUUCUCCCCGAAAGCUAUUUAGGUAGCGCCUCGUGAAUUCAUCUCCGGGGGUAGAGCACUGUUUCGGCAAGGGGGUCAUCCCGACUUACCAACCCGAUGCAAACUGCGAAUACCGGAGAAUGUUAUCACGGGAGACACACGGCGGGUGCUAACGUCCGUCGUGAAGAGGGAAACAACCCAGACCGCCAGCUAAGGUCCCAAAGUCAUGGUUAAGUGGGAAACGAUGUGGGAAGGCCCAGACAGCCAGGAUGUUGGCUUAGAAGCAGCCAUCAUUUAAAGAAAGCGUAAUAGCUCACUGGUCGAGUCGGCCUGCGCGGAAGAUGUAACGGGGCUAAACCAUGCACCGAAGCUGCGGCAGCGAC